GAAGUGGGCUGGGCAGCCGCGCUGGCGUGGGGCAACUCACGCGGUGAGGAAGGUCCGGACUCCAGAGGGCAGGGUGACGGCUAACGGCCGUGCGCGGUGACGCGACGAACAGGACCACAGAGACGAGUAUGCGCAGCGCAAGCUGCGCGGACGUGAAACGCGGCAACCUCCACCCGGAGCAACACCAAAUAGGCAGACGAUGCGGGGCUUUCGGGCCUUGUGAAAGCGCGGCUCGCGCGAGUCUGCGGGUAGGUGGCACCGAGCCGAUGCGGUAACGCGCGGCCCAGAGGAAUGGCUGCCACGUCGGGCAACCGACGCACAGAAUCCGGCCUACAGGCCCACUUCGCAC
This 349-nucleotide RNase P RNA is filed under the name Betaproteobacteria bacterium. RNAcentral's name for it is "RNase P RNA component class A". It matches the Rfam family "Bacterial RNase P class A". Rfam says of the family: Ribonuclease P (RNase P) is a ubiquitous endoribonuclease, found in archaea, bacteria and eukarya as well as chloroplasts and mitochondria. Its best characterised activity is the generation of mature 5'-ends of tRNAs by cleaving the 5'-leader elements of precursor-tRNAs. The record is from RNAcentral. Lineage: Bacteria; Pseudomonadati; Pseudomonadota; Betaproteobacteria.